CAGGACGGAGUUUUGUUGUGAGGCCGCUACAGAGAUCGGCCAUGAUGGAGACAAUCAGCAGGUCGAACAGGUCCAGCCUCUCCUGCACAGGACCACAGACGAGUCCCCGCUCGACCUGGACGCCGUCCUGAGACUGUUCCGCCAGGAGAACGUGAAUCCAGAUGUAGAAACCCACGUCCAGGCGAGGAGGAGAGAGCUGCUCCACGGAGCCGAGAAGGUGGUGAGGAGGCCGGGUUUCUGUUUCCGGGCGACACCCGUCGUCUCCUUCGGUGGAGAGGAGACCCAGGGACACGAGGGGCCUCUCCGAGAGUUCUUCAGGUUGACUCUUCUGGAGCUGCAGCAAAGUUCUGUGUUCGAGGGUCGUCCAGGACGCCUGUUUUUCACCUAUGACCUCACAGCUCUUGAAGACAGGAAGUAUUUCCAGGCCGGCGUUCUGAUUGGCUGGUCCCUGACUCAGGGCGGACCAGGCCUGCGUUGUCUCCACCCUGCACUUUACCAGGUA
Molecule: non-coding RNA, 502 nt
Organism: Paralichthys olivaceus (Japanese flounder)
Lineage: Eukaryota; Metazoa; Chordata; Actinopteri; Pleuronectiformes; Paralichthyidae
Source: RefSeq, a predicted model, not a curated record